CUGUACCUCACAGUCAGCAGACAGACCCUCCCUCCCAGACCCUCCCACCUCCUGGACAGCAUCUAUUUUGAACCUGCAUUCUUAGUGAGCUGUCCAGGAGAUGGGAGGGUCUGGGAGGGAGGGUCUGCUGCUGAUUGGCUGGAAUGU
RNAcentral lists this microRNA precursor (147 nucleotides) under Pelobates cultripes (western spadefoot toad). The record is from RNAcentral. Lineage: Eukaryota; Metazoa; Chordata; Amphibia; Anura; Pelobatidae.